This 531-nucleotide ribosomal RNA is filed under the name uncultured bacterium. RNAcentral describes it as "bacterial SSU rRNA". It matches the Rfam family "Bacterial small subunit ribosomal RNA", at positions 274 to 803 of the family's 1533-position model. The record is from RNAcentral.
CGACGAUGCGUAGGGGUUCUGAGAGGAAGGUCCCCCACACUGGUACUGAGACACGGACCAGACUCCUACGGGAGGCAGCAGUGAGGAAUAUUGGUCAAUGGCCGGGAGGCUGAACCAGCCAAGUCGCGUGAGGGAAGACGGCCCUACGGGUUGUAAACCUCUUUUGUCAGGGAGCAAGAGGCGGGUCGGGACCUGCUGUGAGAGUACCUGAAGAAAAAGCAUCGGCUAACUCCGUGCCAGCAGCCGCGGUAAUACGGAGGAUGCGAGCGUUAUCCGGAUUUAUUGGGUUUAAAGGGUGCGCAGGCGGAGGCACAAGUCAGCGGUAAAAUCGCGGGGCUCAACCCCGCUCCGCCGUUGAAACUGUGUCCCUUGAGUGCGCGAAGGGUAGGCGGAAUGCGUGGUGUAGCGGUGAAAUGCAUAGAUAUCACGCAGAACUCCGAUCGCGAAGGCAGCCUACCGGCGCGCGACUGACGCUCAUGCACGAAAGCGUGGGUAUCGAACAGGAUUAGAUACCCUGGUAGUCCACGCAGU